RNAcentral lists this ribosomal RNA (507 nucleotides) under uncultured Acidobacteriota bacterium. RNAcentral's name for it is "bacterial SSU rRNA". It matches the Rfam family "Bacterial small subunit ribosomal RNA", at positions 8 to 521 of the family's 1533-position model. Lineage: Bacteria; Pseudomonadati; Acidobacteriota. The record is from RNAcentral.
AGAGUUUGAUCCUGGCUCAGAAUCAACGCUGGCGGCGUGCCUAACACAUGCAAGUCGAGCGAGAAAAGGGGGGCAACUCCCUGAGUACAGCGGCGCACGGGUGAGUAACACGUGGGUAAUCUGCCCUGAAGUGGGGAAUAACACCGGGAAACCGGUGCUAAUACCGCAUAUGAUCACGGUGUCUGCGGACACAGGGAUGAAAGGAGCAAUUCGCUUCAGGAGGAGCCCGCGGCUGAUUAGCUAGUUGGUGAGGUAAUGGCUCACCAAGGCAACGAUCAGUAUCCGGUCUGAGAGGACGGUCGGACACACUGGAACUGAGACACGGUCCAGACUCCUACGGGAGGCAGCAGUGGGGAAUUUUUCGCAAUGGGGGCAACCCUGACGAAGCAACGCCGCGUGGGUGAUGAAGUCUCUUGGGACGUAAAACCCUUUCGACGGGGAAGAAACCGCAAGGUUGACGGUACCCGUAGAAGAAGCCCCGGCUAACUCCGUGCCAGCCGCCGCUGU